AUUUCCUGGAAGAGGCAGAGGGGUAGGAGUGUCUCCUGUGACCCCAUUAUUCUAAUUCUGAAAGGAAUGAUCACACAUUGUGGAAACGAGGGGUAGGAGUGUCUCCUAUGACCUCGGUAUUCGCUACACUUUGUCAAAUAGAGCUACAAAAGUAGAUAAGUCAAUAAGAUGAAUAAAAUGGACUGCAUCAACAUCAACAUUCAUUGAAAUUGAAACUAUAAAGUUUCAGAGAAGAGAGAAAAAGAGGGAAGAAAGGAAUCAGAGAAGACUACUUGUGUGUUCAGAAACUUGCUUGAGUAAGAUUCCAUGUCCCUUGAUCGAUACUCCCAAGACGUAGCCUACACAUCUAUAUUUAUGCAGAAAUGAGGUCAGCAGAGGGG
RNAcentral lists this long non-coding RNA (380 nucleotides) under Brassica napus (rape). RNAcentral describes it as "long non-coding RNA (BNAP_LNC026711)". Lineage: Eukaryota; Viridiplantae; Streptophyta; Magnoliopsida; Brassicales; Brassicaceae. The record is from RNAcentral.